Molecule: ribosomal RNA, 392 nt
Filed under: Mantidactylus femoralis
Lineage: Eukaryota; Metazoa; Chordata; Amphibia; Anura; Mantellidae
Description: partial 16S ribosomal RNA
Rfam family: Bacterial large subunit ribosomal RNA
Source: RNAcentral
GAAACUAAUCUCCCCGUGAAGAAGCGAGGAUAACACUAUAAGACGAGAAGACCCCAUGGAGCUUUAAACCCAAUUAUAUCCCUAACCCCUAUAACCAUUUAACCUCUUAGGCCCUAUAUACUUGGUUUUAGGUUGGGGCGACCACGGAGUAAAACCAAACCUCCAUGAUGUACGGAACAACCUCCUUAUCUAAGAGCCACAGCUCUAAGAAUUAGCACACUAUCAUAAAAUGACCCAUUAUUGAUCAACGAACCAAGUUACCCUGGGGAUAACAGCGCAAUCCAUUUUAAGAGCCCCUAUCGACAAAUGGGUUUACGACCUCGAUGUUGGAUCAGGAUAUCCCAGUGGUGCAGCAACUACUAAAGGUUCGUUUGUUCAACGAUCAAAAUCCU